GAUGAACGCUGGCGGCGUGCCUAAUACAUGCAAGUCGAGCGAACGGACGAGAAGCUUGCUUCUCUGAUGUUAGCGGCGGACGGGUGAGUAACACGUGGAUAACCUACCUAUAAGACUGGGAUAACUUCGGGAAACCGGAGCUAAUACCGGAUAAUAUUUUGAACCGCAUGGUUCAAAAGUGAAAGACGGUUUUGCUGUCACUUAUAGAUGGAUCCGCGCUGCAUUAGCUAGUUGGUAAGGUAACGGCUUAGCAAGGCAACGAUGCAUAGCCGACCUGUGCGGGUGGUCGUCGACACUAGAACUGGGACACGGUCCAGACUCCUACGGGAGGCAGCAGUAGGGAAUCUUCCGCAAUGGGCGAAAGCCUGACGGAGCAACGCCACGUGAGUGAUGAAGGUCUUCGGAUCGUAAAACUCUGUUAUUAGUGAUGAACAUAUGUGUAAGUAACUGUGCAGAUCUUGACGGUACCUUAUCAGAAAGCCACGGCUAACUACGUG
RNAcentral lists this ribosomal RNA (497 nucleotides) under uncultured bacterium. RNAcentral describes it as "partial 16S ribosomal RNA". It matches the Rfam family "Bacterial small subunit ribosomal RNA", at positions 28 to 507 of the family's 1533-position model. The record is from RNAcentral.